Molecule: long non-coding RNA, 616 nt
Organism: Onychostoma macrolepis
Lineage: Eukaryota; Metazoa; Chordata; Actinopteri; Cypriniformes; Cyprinidae
Exons: 2
Source: RefSeq, a predicted model, not a curated record
GAAUAAUCAAUCUCUCUCCCAUGUUUUCUAACAGGUGCAGGUGCUGCGCAGACCUUGGAUUUAUUUCAAUGGUGACACUCAGCAGAUCGGUGGCUUUGUCAAGGAAUUCACCCACAUCGCUUUCCUCACAGUGAAGGGUUCAGGUCACAUGGUUCCCACUGACAAACCCAUAGCAGCCUUCACGAUGUUCAGUCGCUUCAUCACCAAACAACCUUACUAGAAGACACUCAGGGAUUUUUACUCUCUUAAAAUCUGGAUUUGCACUGUCACACUGGUAAAAUGUUUCUGAUGUGUGGACCACUGACUGUUUUCUGUCACUCUGCCACUCAAAACUGAUCAUGCAUUUUUAUGUAGUUUAGUUGCCAGCCUGUGAACUAAAGUCAUGCUGACUGUACAUAAUGAUGUUUCAUCGUAUGUGUUUAAGUUUAAGAGGUUCACGAAUGUCGGUGUUCCUCCCUUGAUCUUUGAUUUAUGAUUGAUUUUAAUUGCAGGAGAUGCGGAGUGUUUACGAAUUGAAAUUCAAUCCGAUCAGCUGUGAGUGGAUGCUGACUGUUUAUUGCACAAUUUUAGCGUGUCUUUUCUAUUAAACCUGAAACUGUAGCUUUUAUUGAUCAUC